This 1035-nucleotide long non-coding RNA is filed under the name Phoenix dactylifera (date palm). Its description in RNAcentral is "long non-coding RNA (PDAC_LNC011780)". Lineage: Eukaryota; Viridiplantae; Streptophyta; Magnoliopsida; Arecales; Arecaceae. The record is from RNAcentral.
CUCAUUUCCGUAUUCAUCUCCCACAUUAUUAUUAUUUUUUUUCUUUCUUCCCCAGUUUCAGAACAAGCCGCAUGAUCACCUAAGGAUUCUUCCCAUUCCCAUUCAACCACGUCCUCCCAGAUUCUUUGCUCCAAAUGUGAUCUCCUCCCGCAAGGCAAUCCUCCCAGCGUCCGCGAGUCAAGCAUCGUCUUCCCAAAGAUCAAUUUCCAGCCGAUUCUGAAUCUCAGCAUCUUUAUCUCCCACAGAUAAGAAUCCCCUGUUCUACGUCCUCCCCUCUUCCGCUUCCACGAUUCAAAUCUCUACCUUCCAUCUCAGCACCGAACCAAGGGAAGAUCUCUUCCCAAAAAUCGGCAGAUCAUCCCUUUCCUUCCCAGCAAACCGAAGCAACCAGAUCAUCCAUUCCUUCCGCGCCCAAAGAUUUCAUCCAAGCCAAGAUCCUCUCCGCUUCACCGUGCCUCAGCUGCACCCGGAUUCGUUCCAAGAAGAGAUCCCCUCAUUCCCAGAUCCUCCGCGCGUCCCCAACGCUUUCCAGCCGCAUCCCAGAUCUCCUCUUCGUGCCAGCCAGCCUUCCACGUUCGCCCGGAUCGCCCGGCGGCCGGAUUUCAAGCAGCCUUCCGCAUCAACGCGUAUCAACCGCGUCCAGCUCCUCCCCCUCGAUUCCAACGCCAAAACAGGGGAAAGAUCGAUGAUAUGCUAAACCGGGUGCCCUUGGAGAUAUAAAAGGAGGAGCGGAUAACGGAGGGAAGAGAGGAGAGAGCACGGUUUGAAGAACAGAGGAGAGGCUCUGUUCGGGAGAAAAGAAGAAAAGAAAGGAGGGGGGAGAGAGUAUUUUGGGUAUUUUGGGAAUAAUGGGAGCGGAAGAUUUUCAUAUGAAGAUGGGAGGACAUCCGGCCACCACGCGCAGCUAAACCUCUAAUCUAGGGCUGGAUGAAGCCCUAGUAAUGUAUCAGGGCAUUGUAUUUCUUACCCUUUUAAUCUUUUUGGAGUUUGUUUAAAUUCUCAUUCUCAAUGAAAAUUUCUUUUAUGAUGUUUAAA